This 1234-nucleotide ribosomal RNA is filed under the name metagenome. RNAcentral describes it as "bacterial LSU rRNA". It matches the Rfam family "Bacterial large subunit ribosomal RNA", at positions 1564 to 2808 of the family's 2925-position model. The record is from RNAcentral.
UGAAUACGAGAUGCUACGGCGUCGAAGCAGUCUAUGUCAUACUUCCAAGAAAAGCUUGCACUGUCAUAAACAAAUAAUGCCUGUACCAUAACCGACACAGGUGGGUAGGUAGAGUAUACUAAGGGGCGCGAGAUAACUCUCUCUAAGGAACUCGGCAAAAUGACUCCGUAACUUCGGGAGAAGGAGUGCCUUAUUUAUAAGGUUGCAAUAACAAGAUCCAAGCAACUGUUUACCAAAAACACAGGUCUCCGCUAAGUCGUAAGACGAUGUAUGGGGGCUGACGCCUGCCCAGUGCCAGAAGGUUAAAGAAGUUGGUUAGCAUCCGCGAAGCUGAUAACUGAAGCCCUGGUGAACGGCGGCCGUAACUAUAACGGUCCUAAGGUAGCGAAAUUCCUUGUCGGGUAAGUUCCGACCCGCACGAAAGGCGUAAUGAUUUGGAUACUGUCUCGGAGAGGGGCUCGGUGAAAUAGACUUGUCUGUGAAGAUGCGGACUACCUGCACCAGGACAGAAAGACCCUAUGAAGCUUUACUGUAACCUGAAAUUGAAAUUGGACUUUACUUGCGCAGUAUGGGUGGGAGGCGUUGAGAAUAUUCUUGCGGGAUUAUUGGAGCCAUCAGUGAGAUACCACUCUUGUAAUGUUAGAUUUCUAACUUUGUAUCAUUAUCUGGUCAAAGAACAGUUUCAGGCGGGCAGUUUGACUGGGGCGGUCGCCUCCUAAACGGUAACGGAGGCGCACAAAGGUUUCCUCUGAACGGGUAGAAAUCGUAUCUAGAGUGUAAAGGCAUAAGGAAGCUUGACUGUGAGACCUACAAGUCGAGCAGGGACGAAAGUCGGUCUUAGUGAUCUGACGGUGCUGAGUGGAAAGGCCGUCACUCAACGGAUAAAAGUUACUCUAGGAUAACAGGCUGAUCUCCCCCAAGAGUUCACAUCGACGGGGAGGUUUGGCACCUCGAUGUCGGCUCAUCGCAUCCUGGGGCGGUAGUACGUCCCAAGGGUUGGGCUGUUCGCCCAUGAAAGCGGUACGCGAGCUGGGUUCAGAACGUCGUGAGACAGUUCGGUCCAUAUCCGGUGUAGGCGUUAGAAUAUUGAGAGGAGCCUUCUUUAGUACGAGAGGACCGAGAAGGACAUACCUCUGGUGUACCAGUUAUCGUGCCAACGGUAAACGCUGGGUAGCUAUGUGUGGAGUGGAUAACCGCUGAAAGCAUCUAAGUGGGAAGCCCACCUCAAGAUAAG